UACAGAGGUCUCAAGCGUUGUUCGGAUUCAUUGGGCGUAAAGGGUGCGUAGGUGGCGCCGUAAGUCGGGUGUGAAAUUUCGGAGCUUAACUCCGAAACUGCAUUCGAUACUGCGGUGCUUGAGGACUGGAGAGGAGACUGGAAGUCAUGGUGUAGCAGUGAAAUGCGUAGAGAUCAUGAGGAAGACCAGUGGCGAAGGCGGGUCUCUGGACAGUUCCUGACACUGAGGCACGAAGGCCAGGGGAGCAAACGGG
This 253-nucleotide ribosomal RNA is filed under the name uncultured bacterium. RNAcentral's name for it is "partial 16S ribosomal RNA". It matches the Rfam family "Bacterial small subunit ribosomal RNA", at positions 524 to 776 of the family's 1533-position model. The record is from RNAcentral.